This 1339-nucleotide ribosomal RNA is filed under the name human gut metagenome. Its description in RNAcentral is "bacterial LSU rRNA". It matches the Rfam family "Bacterial large subunit ribosomal RNA", at positions 1610 to 2925 of the family's 2925-position model. The record is from RNAcentral.
AGGAAAAGCCUCUAAGCAUCAGGUAACAUCAAAUCGUACCCCAAACCGACACAGGUGGUCAGGUAGAGAAUACCAAGGCGCUUGAGAGAACUCGGGUGAAGGAACUAGGCAAAAUGGUGCCGUAACUUCGGGAGAAGGCACGCUGAUAUGUAGGUGAAGUCCCUCGCGGAUGGAGCUGAAAUCAGUCGAAGAUACCAGCUGGCUGCAACUGUUUAUUAAAAACACAGCACUGUGCAAACACGAAAGUGGACGUAUACGGUGUGACGCCUGCCCGGUGCCGGAAGGUUAAUUGAUGGGGUCAGCGCAAGCGAAGCUCUUGAUCGAAGCCCCGGUAAACGGCGGCCGUAACUAUAACGGUCCUAAGGUAGCGAAAUUCCUUGUCGGGUAAGUUCCGACCUGCACGAAUGGCGUAAUGAUGGCCAGGCUGUCUCCACCCGAGACUCAGUGAAAUUGAACUCGCUGUGAAGAUGCAGUGUACCCGCGGCAAGACGGAAAGACCCCGUGAACCUUUACUAUAGCUUGACACUGAACAUUGAGCCUUGAUGUGUAGGAUAGGUGGGAGGCUUAGAAGUGUGGACGCCAGUCUGCAUGGAGCCGACCUUGAAAUACCACCCUUUAAUGUUUGAUGUUCUAACGUUGACCCGUAAUCCGGGUUGCGGACAGUGUCUGGUGGGUAGUUUGACUGGGGCGGUCUCCUCCUAAAGAGUAACGGAGGAGCACGAAGGUUGGCUAAUCCUGGUCGGACAUCAGGAGGUUAGUGCAAUGGCAUAAGCCAGCUUGACUGCGAGCGUGACGGCGCGAGCAGGUGCGAAAGCAGGUCAUAGUGAUCCGGUGGUUCUGAAUGGAAGGGCCAUCGCUCAACGGAUAAAAGGUACUCCGGGGAUAACAGGCUGAUACCGCCCAAGAGUUCAUAUCGACGGCGGUGUUUGGCACCUCGAUGUCGGCUCAUCACAUCCUGGGGCUGAAGUAGGUCCCAAGGGUAUGGCUGUUCGCCAUUUAAAGUGGUACGCGAGCUGGGUUUAGAACGUCGUGAGACAGUUCGGUCCCUAUCUGCCGUGGGCGCUGGAGAACUGAGGGGGGCUGCUCCUAGUACGAGAGGACCGGAGUGGACGCAUCACUGGUGUUCGGGUUGUCAUGCCAAUGGCACUGCCCGGUAGCUAAAUGCGGAAGAGAUAAGUGCUGAAAGCAUCUAAGCACGAAACUUGCCCCGAGAUGAGUUCUCCCUGACCCUUUAAGGGUCCUGAAGGAACGUUGAAGACGACGACGUUGAUAGGCCGGGUGUGUAAGCGCAGCGAUGCGUUGAGCUAACCGGUACUAAUGAACCGUGAGGCUUAACCUU